This 497-nucleotide ribosomal RNA is filed under the name uncultured bacterium. RNAcentral's name for it is "partial 16S ribosomal RNA". It matches the Rfam family "Bacterial small subunit ribosomal RNA", at positions 28 to 507 of the family's 1533-position model. The record is from RNAcentral.
GACGAACGCUGGCGGCGUGCCUAAUACAUGCGAGUUGAGCGCUGAAGGUUGGUACUUGUACCAACUGGAUGAGCCGCGAACGGGUGAGUAACGCGUGGGGAAUCUGCCUUUGAGCGGGGGACAACAUUUGGAAACGAAUGCUAAUACCGCAUAAAAACUUUAAACACAAGUUUUAAGUUUGAAAGAUGCCAUUGCAUCACUCAAAGAUGAUCCCGCGUUGUAUUAGCUAGUUGGUGAGGUAAAGGCUCACCAAGGCGAUGAUACAUAGCCGACCUGAGAGGGUGAGCGGCCACGUUGGGGCUGAGACACGGCCCAAACUCCUACGGGAGGCAGCAGUAGGGAAUCUUCGGCAAUGGACGAAAGUCUGACCGAGCAACGCCGCGUGAGUGAAGAAGGAUUUCGGAUCGUAAAACUCUGUUGGUAGGGAAGAACGUUGGUGAGAGUGGAAAGCUCAUCAAGUGACGGUAACUACCCAGAAAGGGACGGCUAACUACGUG